GUAUGGUAUCAAGAGUCAGACAUGACUGAAGCAAAGACUUACUUUUUUUUUUAGGCUCCAACGAGCUAGCGUGAUUGAUCCCUCUCUCUUUCUGGUACUCUUCUCAACCCAUGACUCUCUUCACUACCCUACUAUGGCCGCUGUCAUCAACCCACCCCACUCUCCAUCUCCUCAAACUGAUGACCACCUUAUCGACCCUCUCUAGCCUACUACAACCACCAACAUCACCGCCCCCUCCUACAUGCCAUCUCAUCAUUUGCUUUCAAUUAAGCUUGAGCCCAAAAACUAUUUAAUUUGGAAGACACAAAUAACACCCUUCCUUAAAGGGCAAAAUAUUUUUGAAUACCUCAAUGGAACCAUUCCAUGCCUAUCUAACCCUAUGGUUGUCAUUACUUGGCAUUACCGGACAAUGCCCUCAUGAGCUUGCUUAUUACGUCCCUUAGUGAAGAAGUCUUUCCACUUGUUGUUGGGAAAACUACCAGUCAAGAAAUAUGGGACACCUUGCCACUACAUUUUCUACUCCGUCCACAACUAGGGUGCUCUCUUUGCACCUUGUGCUCCAAGAUCUGGUUCACAAACCAGAUGAAUCCAUCACCACAUUUCUUCACCGAGCAAAGAUGAUAUUUGACUAACUUUCUGCUGUAGGAAAACCCCUCCCAAUGGAGGACUUUAAUAUCUAUAUUUUUUGGGCUCUUAAAUCAGAGUACCGUGACAUCUUCUCCUCCCUGUUAUGUCGUCAAGAACAGCUAUCCUAUACGGACCUUCAUGCUCUGCUUCUCAAGCAUAAGUUUCUUCAUGGAACAUCUCUCAAUAAAUUAACUUAAGUUUCUUCAACUGUGGACUCCCCUGCUGCCCAUAAUGUCCAGCCUCAGCCUAACCAAGGUAACACUUAUGACCAACCAUGAUCCUCCUCUCAUCGUGGUUCAUUCCGUGGUCAUGGUUGAAGAAGGCAUGGUCGGACUGGCCGCCUCUAUUGUGUUAUUUUCCAGUGUACCAAUCAUACAGCUACGACAUGUUAUUACCGCCAACAGUCAUGUCAACCAUCAUACCCUAAUGUUCCCCAUGCCAAUCCACCCUUUCUUCACAAUACCCACCCCCCAUCCGCCCAUCACACAGCCCCAUACCCAACUCCCACCCCUAUAACAUACACAUAGCUCCCAGACACAGGGGCUACUCACCACGUGACCCCAGAUCUAGACUCCCUCUCCUCCUAUGAUCCAUACUUUGGUCUAGACAAGCUCUACAUUUAUAAUGGAUCGACGAACGAAAGCUUCUCUUCAUAUUAGUCCGAGUAAAGAUGGCCUUCACACGUUUUCUACAGCCACAGUUCAUGCGGUAGAUUCUUGGGAUUGGGGUGGGGCCACCUACAUAUAUCUCCUGCGGGCCUUAGACUUGCUGUCAUAUGGAGACUGAGGUCUCAAGGGAGUGAGCUUCAUCCUCCAGGUAACUUUCCUUCUUGUACCCAUUUCCUUUCAUUCAUUUGGAUUACACUUUCUUACUUUAAUUUUUUGAAACAGCCUUGGUGCUUUGAGCACUUGGGGACCAUAGCUCCUAGACUGAGGGACCCUUAGGCAUUCUUCUUCCCUGUAGCCAUGAGGUGGGGAGAUAAUCGAAUGAUUAGGGCUCAGCGCCAUCCUCCUGGGACCACCGCUUGUUCUCUUUUAGAAUGAUCUCAUAGAGAUUCUGAAGGAUUUGCAUUGGCUAAACACUUAUCUGAGAACCGAGUCCUCUUUCAGGGUAUUUGGGGCCAUAUGUGGUAUUUGGGAGAGAGAGUAGUACCCCAAUGGUCGGAUAUCGAGUCACGCCCAUCUCCAGGUCUUCCUCCACCCACUAUGCAUUGCCCAGAGAUCAUCCCAGUAGACGAGAUUAAGCAUUUGGCUGAUGGAGUAUGGAAUGACUCAUUUCUUGACCAGGCUAGGGACUACAGAGCCUUCUUGGAGGAGGAGACAGGGAGAGAGCGAGGUGUAGAUCCUUCUACUAUUUGGUCACAAGUCAAUAAUGUUGACCUUCAUAAGUGGGACCCUCUACCAGUGCAGGUGGGUCUCUCAGAGUUGCUAGCAUCCCCUUCCAUGGCUUCCCCACUUGGAACUAUCCCAACUCGGCCAACCCCAGUCUCUCUCAUCUUCUAGAGUAGAAGACAGAUGCAGAUGCUUCCCUUCGGCUACCCAUUCCUUUUGACUUUGUGUCUCUGGAGGUCUAUUCUGAGAUCAGGAGGAUGCAUUAUGGCCUGUGAGAGACGAUUGUUGCCAAGGAUGGGAGGCUUGCCACCUUGGAGAGCCAAGUUAGUUCCAAUGAGCGGGAAAUCACACUGUAGGAUGCACUGAUUCAGGACAUGAUUCAGAGGCUAGAGCAGGUUGGACCAGCAUCCUCGGGUUCCCCGGUACUCCAUAGGGAUGAUUCAGAGUACGGUUCCGAGAUCUAGUCCGAAUCUGUGGCCAUGGCUCAUGUCAUCGAAUCCCUAGAAUGCUUCUGCAAGAACAGUAGGGAUGAUGUCACCUCCUUUCUUCAACUGUUUUACCAUCUCAAUCAGAACGAUUGGUGCACCACGUUUGGGAGUGCAGAGAACAUAACGAGCUAUCAUGCAAAGUAAAUAAGCAUCAUAUGAUCUCUAUUAAUGGAUUCCUCCCAUUGGUAGAUAUUGGAUGAAGAUCUGGGCCAGCUUCGUAAUGUCAA
Long non-coding RNA from Macadamia integrifolia, 2673 nucleotides. RefSeq lists it as uncharacterized. NCBI's taxonomy places the organism in Eukaryota, Viridiplantae, Streptophyta, Magnoliopsida, Proteales, Proteaceae. The transcript has 6 exons. The record is from RefSeq and is a predicted model, not a curated record.